Molecule: long non-coding RNA, 2388 nt
Organism: Mangifera indica (mango)
Lineage: Eukaryota; Viridiplantae; Streptophyta; Magnoliopsida; Sapindales; Anacardiaceae
Exons: 2
Source: RefSeq, a predicted model, not a curated record
GUGGUGUAGUUGGUUAUCACGUCAGUCUAACACACUGAAGGUCUCCGGUUCGAGUCCGGGCGACGCCAGAUCUUAUUAUUUAAUUUUCAUUUUAAUAAAAUGAACUAGGCAUCCAUUGUCGUAAUUUGCAGAUACAGCCCCGUCAAUCUGGUAGUCCCUUGAAACGAGGGGUCAUUUUGAAAUUAUGCAAAAUCCUCUUUCCAGCGAUUGGAUUCUAUCUUCAAAGUGUUCCGGACCAAUGACCUCUCAAAUAUGCAGAAAGUUCUGGUGUCUGCUAUCUCCUUAAUUUCCACCAAAUUUACGUGUAGACUAGAUAUUGGAUAAGCUCAUUGAAAUUGAAUACUUCCGUAAGUGAGUUGGUAUAUAUCGUGGGAAAACUUUUGUACAAAGCGUAUUCUGUAAUCAGAUGAAAAAACAAGUUUUUCCCAAAGAGAUUUCCAGGUAAUGAGCCAAGUAUACAGUGUUUUUAUGUACUUAAGAAGGUAAAUUACUUGUCAAUAAUCGCACUGUGGGCAAAGAAUUCAAGAAAGAGAGAUAUUAUUUCAUUUUCUAAGCAAAAGAAGCACAAUUUUGAGGGCUCUUUUAUUGACAGAAAACCAACAUCCUUAGACUCAGAGAAUUGAAAAGUCUGGAAGUAUGAAGUUUUUAGAGAAGAAUUUGUUGCUGCUCAACGUUUCAGGAUGUUUGGAUCUCAUGAAGAUGGCAUUUUCAUCUACUUGAUGGUCUUCUUUGUUCCUCUGAGCUUCUAUAUCCAUUACUGAGUCCUCCAUGCCCAUCCUUUGAUAUGGAAUGGAAUGUUGUUUAUAUAGUCAUUGUAUAUAUAAAAAUAUAGAUGAGCGAAAUAAACAGUGUAGUCACCUGAAAUUCAGGUAACAUUGGACCUAGACAAAAUCCUGAAGCUAAUUCUGAAAGACGACAAUAAGUUUCAAAAUCUGUCAAACAUAAAAGUGGAGGUGUUUUCUGAAAACUGAGCGAAUUUUAAUAAAAAUGUCCAACUCUCUGCCUAAACAAUGGCGAUUCUUGUGGCCAUUUGGGUUUAAUGGUAGAUAAAUAGCCAGUUACUUUUGAAUGUCUAUCUACAUAUAUGAAGCAGUCUCAUUCUUGUCAUUUUUCUUUUUCCUUAUUUUAGCGUCAUUUUAGCUAUUAAACAACUCAAAUUUCUGUCUUUUAAAAUAUUUUAUACACCAAUUGGAGACACUUCAUUAGGUUUUUUUUUUUUUUUUUUUUCAAACAAGUAAAAUAUAAUUCCACUAUAAUUUGUUUCAAGCCAGAUGCAGGCCAAAGGCCCAAUUAAAUGGCCUUUGUCAUAUCAAUGACCCCAAAUUUUGGUUUUCUCUCGCCCUUCAGGCCCUGGAUAAAUGGGUUGUUUCGAUUAGAUCCAUUUGAUAUACCAAGGCUUAUUAAAGUGGUAAAUUUUUAUAUUUUAAAUUUUCAAAAAUUAGGUUUUUAUCUAUCAUCCACAUUUGUUAAUGAAUUAUGUUAAAUAAAAAGAUAAAAAAAUUACUUAUCCUAUUUUUUUAUUCUUUUUAUUUACAUUAAAACAAUUUGUUUUUCUUUUUUAAAACCUUAUUGAAUAACGAGAUAAGUUUAUUGUAUUAAAAUUCAAGAUAAAUAAUUUAUCUAAUAUAUAAUAAGUUAUUGGGCUCUGUCAAAGUUCUUAUUCACAUUAGACCCAUUCAUAAAAUGUUUUGUAAUAUUCAAUUAACACCAAUUAUAUUGAAUCAAAAUUGUGGCUAGCAUUAGCCCACAUCUAACAAAAUUAUCUUCUCAAUUUUUUUCUAGUAAUAAAUAUACACAUUAGCAAAUAAAAAAAUUAAACCAUAGUGAUGUGCAUGAGACAAAACCACAUGUGGUCCUAGAAUCUUUAAUAUGUCAAUACUAAAAAAAACUAAUGAGCGUGCUUGAUGAAGGAAGAAACUUCAAAAUGAUGCAGACCCAGAAGUUGGAGACUGGUAGUUGAGAAGAGAAUGGUGGUUAAUUUUGGGUUUUAAAGUGGAAAAUUACAUAAAGCGGUUAACAUCUUCCCAUAUGAGCCUCCAAUUCAUGAUCUCAUGAAAAUGUAAUUCUCCAGUGAGCUGAAGAGAAGGAUGAAGAAAUAACUGAAUGAAGGAAUACGGGAAAUGCAUGAAAGAGGAAGAAGAAAUAAUGAGCUUGGGAGGGGAAAUAGUGAUGGCAAUGGUAGGGUUAUGGGCAGUGUAUUUGAGGCCAUCGCUGAUGAGACAUUCAGUGGAGAUGCUGCAAGUUUUGCGCAAUGCCAUCAUCAGAUUAUUCAGAGCCUCGCCUUCUUUUUCUUUCCCUACUUCUUCAUUUCCAUGGAUGUACUAACAACAAGGUAUGUUGACUGAUUAUCUUGAAUGAUUAAUAAAAGAAAGUAAGGAUUUCAAUGUA